CCUACGGGAGGCAGCAGUGAGGAAUAUUGGUCAAUGGACGAGAGUCUGAACCAGCCAAGUAGCGUGAAGGAUGACUGCCCUAUGUAUUGUAAACUUCUUUUAUAUGGGCAUAAAAUGUUCCACGUGUGGGAUUUUGUAUGUAGCCUAUGAAUAAGGAUCGGCGAACUCCGUGCCAGCAGCCGCGGUAAUACGGAGGAUCCGAGCGUUAUCCGGAUUUAUUGGGUUAAAAGGGUGCGUAGUCGGUCCGGAAAGUCAGCGGUAAAAGCCCGGGGCUCAACCCCGGCGAGCCGUUGAAACUGUCGGACUAGAGAGGGAGAGAAGUACGCGGAAUGCGCGGUGUAGCGGUGAAAUGCAUAGAUAUCGCGCAGAACUCCGAUUGCGAAGGCAGCGUACCGGCGCCGAACUGACGCUGAGGCACGAAAGCGUGGGUAUCGAACAGGAUUAGAUACCCCGGUAGUC
Molecule: ribosomal RNA, 459 nt
Filed under: uncultured bacterium
Lineage: Bacteria
Description: partial 16S ribosomal RNA
Rfam family: Bacterial small subunit ribosomal RNA
Source: RNAcentral